CACGUAGGCGGUUUUUUAAGUCAGAUGUGAAAGCCCCGGGCUCAACCUGGGAAUUGCAUUUGAAACUGGGGAACUAGAGUUCUGUAGAGGGGGGUAGAAUUCCAGGUGUAGCGGUGAAAUGCGUAGAGAUCUGGAGGAAUACCGAUUGCGAAGGCAGCCCCCUGGACAGUGACUGACGCUCAUAUGCGAAAGCGUGGGGAUCAAACAGGAUUAGAUACCCCAGUA
RNAcentral lists this ribosomal RNA (225 nucleotides) under uncultured Thorsellia sp. Its description in RNAcentral is "partial 16S ribosomal RNA". It matches the Rfam family "Bacterial small subunit ribosomal RNA", at positions 568 to 792 of the family's 1533-position model. The record is from RNAcentral. Lineage: Bacteria; Pseudomonadati; Pseudomonadota; Gammaproteobacteria; Enterobacterales; Thorselliaceae.